GGACAGGUGGCUGAGUGGUUGAAGGCACUCGACUCGAAAUCGAACGUAGGGGCAACUCUACCGUGGGUUCAAAUCCCACCCUGUCCGCCA
Molecule: transfer RNA, 90 nt
Filed under: Verrucomicrobia bacterium Tous-C9LFEB
Lineage: Bacteria; Pseudomonadati; Verrucomicrobiota
Description: tRNA-Ser
Rfam family: tRNA
About the family: Transfer RNA (tRNA) molecules are approximately 80 nucleotides in length. Their secondary structure includes four short double-helical elements and three loops (D, anti-codon, and T loops).
Source: RNAcentral